Long non-coding RNA from Plodia interpunctella (Indianmeal moth), 2005 nucleotides. RefSeq lists it as uncharacterized. The transcript is spliced from 3 exons. Lineage: Eukaryota; Metazoa; Arthropoda; Insecta; Lepidoptera; Pyralidae. The record is from RefSeq and is a predicted model, not a curated record.
ACCUUAUGUAUUUUCAUUGUGUCUUUGUCACAUACGAAGAGUACGUGAGCCUUGAUAUUUUUGAUAAUAUUAUACCACGAAGGCUAUCAAUAUCAUUCUAAAUACCUCAUAUGGAAAUUGAUUCCUUUCUAACCUUGUCUAAGAAUCGACUCGGAGGAAUAGAUUUAGGUUGAUGUUUGUUGUUGACUUAGUAUUUUUUUGAUGUCGCGUCGAUAAGUGAUAUUUAUAUCAUCCCAUUUUAUUUGUAUACGUAGAAUAAAGUUUUGAAUUUUUGAAGGCUUGAAAAGUCAAUCUAUCUAUGAUCAGUAGCAAUCAAUUGGAAGAAGGGUCUAGGUAUACCUACCUAUAGGAUGAAAUUCUAUGACUCAUGUGCAUAGUGCGCCAAUAAGUUUUUAAUUACUAGGAAGCUUUGACCCUGACUUCGUUGUGUUUGAAUUCGGAAAUAAAUAUUUUUAAAAUUAAAACUUAUUUCUUAAAAAGCACGUUUACAAGCUGAUAAAAUUACUUCCUCUCGUUUUUAUGACGCAAUUAGCUAAGUACUUCAUUACUUAGUUCUCAUUUGAGAUAGCAUGCGAAAAAGUGAAAUGGGAAAAGGUAAAAGAGAAGAAAAAUUAGCUAGCUUUUUUAGAUCUCGAUCAAAGAUCUGAAUGCCUCAUAAAGUUGACCUCAAACUAUCUGGUCUCUCCGUCACCUUUCCAAUCUUCUACCUAAAGAUCCUAAUAACAUGAAGUUGAAUCUAACUCUGUUUUGCAGAUCAAACAUCUCAAACAGAAGGCAAAGUCCAUAGCUCCUGUACAUGAUGACGAUGAAAAACCAGAUAUAAAAUCAAUCAAAGACAAGAUAAAAGACAUUGAAGAAUCCGGAAAAUUGCAACAGACUGGGUCUGCUACCACAGUUGCAUCUGGAAAAUCUAUCCAAAGGCCUCCCACCCAAACUGACCCAGCCGACACACAUCCACGCCCAGAAGAGUCACACCCAGGCCCCACAGAGUCCCAAGGGCAACACGGGUCGCCAGAAACAGGGCAAGAAGCCCAUGGGCCCACUCCAACCCAUCAUAUCCCACGCCGCUCGCCAUACGUUACGCGGCGGGAUUCCACAGACUCCAUAAAUACCGUUAGAACAGUUCUUAUCUCCUAUAGUUUGUGGUCUGUAGACGUAGUCAAAGUAAACAUUUAUUCAGAAAGUAAAUCAGAAAACUUACUAUCUCCUGUAGACUGUAGACAGAGUAGAUAGUUCAAGUAUUUAUUCAAAAAUUAUACCAGUUAGAUAUUUUCCUAACUUCUUCCUAUCGUCUGUAGACGUAGUCAAAGUCAAAGCAUUUAUUCGGAAAUCGACCUUCAUAUGAACUUUUCCGUGACUUUUCCACAUCAUACUUUUCGUAGUGUAGUGUUAGAUACCUAAAAAUAAAGAUGAGAAAUUGAGCAAGACAUGUUUAUUUAGGUAAGCGUAUCUAUAGGUAUAUUGCACAUUUUUUUAAAUAGCUCACACCUUGUCCUGACCCUUCAUUAAUCUAGACAGGACAAGUCUUCGUCAUUAGGAUUAAUAUCAUUGAUUAGAUUUCUAGGUUAGAAACUGACAUUUCAGAUUUCCGUUCUGCAUCGUUAAGGAGUGCCACACUUAACGACCACGUAAAUAAAUACAUUUCGUCAUUUCCAUUUACUUUAGGUUUAAUUGGUAGAAAGACGGGCAAAAAACGAAAGCUCAAAAACACUAUUUUGACUUUUUUCAAGGCUUAACACAAUUUGCGAUUACAGAAAAUCUCAAGUCGUGAGAGUUUAAUCCAAAGCAUCAAUCGAUUCGCAAACCUUGGAAAAAUAUUGGAAAAUUGAUAAUAUUAAUGUCAAUUGCGUGAGAAUCAUGCUCGAGCCUUGAAUAGUCUGAAACUCAGAACAAUUUGUAAUUGUAGUAUCUUUAUGUAUUAUUUGUUAGUAAAUAAAGUAUCAUCGUGUAUAAUUAGUAGAUAAGAUUUAUAAAAGGAUAAUCGAAUUACGAAAAUAAUCUUAAU